GGACUACUAGGGUUUCUAAUCCUGUUUGAUCCCCGCACUUUCGGGUCUGAGUGUCAAUGUUGGGCCAGAUCGCCGCCUUCGCCACCGGUGUUCCUCCAGAUAUCUACGUAUUUCACCACUACACCUGGAAUUCCACGAUCCUCUCCCACAUUCAAGCUUCGCAGUAUCAAAAGCACUUCCUAGGUUGAGCCUAGGGCUUUCACUCCUGACUUACAAAGCCACCUACACCCGCUUUACGCCCAAUGAUUCCGAGCAACGCUUGGACCCCUCGUAUUACCGCGGCUGCUGGCAC
RNAcentral lists this ribosomal RNA (292 nucleotides) under uncultured bacterium. RNAcentral's name for it is "partial 16S ribosomal RNA". The record is from RNAcentral.